RNAcentral lists this ribosomal RNA (813 nucleotides) under Xylochrysis lucida. Its description in RNAcentral is "LSU rRNA". It matches the Rfam family "Eukaryotic large subunit ribosomal RNA", at positions 79 to 922 of the family's 3401-position model. The record is from RNAcentral. Lineage: Eukaryota; Fungi; Ascomycota; Sordariomycetes; Woswasiaceae.
CCUAGUAACGGCGAGUGAAGCGGCAACAGCUCAAAUUUGAAAUCUGGUCGCAAGGCCCGAGUUGUAAUUUGUAGAGGAUGCUUUUGGUGCGGUGCUUCUGAGUUCCCUGGAACGGGACGCCAUAGAGGGUGAGAGCCCCGUAUAGUUGGACACCAAACCUUUGUAUAGCUCCUUCGACGAGUCGAGUAGUUUGGGAAUGCUGCUCAAAAUGGGAGGUAAAAUUCUUCUAAAGCUAAAUACCGGCCAGAGACCGAUAGCGCACAAGUAGAGUGAUCGAAAGAUGAAAAGCACUUUGAAAAGAGGGUUAAAUAGCACGUGAAAUUGUUGAAAGGGAAGCGCCUAUGACCAGACUUGCGCCCGGCGGAUCAUCCAGCGUUCUCGCUGGUGCACUUCGCCGGGCUCAGGCCAGCAUCGGUUCUUCUAGGGGGAUAAAGGUGCUGGGAACGUAGCUCCAUUCGUGGAGUGUUAUAGCCCAGCGCGUAAUGCCCCUGGGGGGACCGAGGACCGCGCUUCUGCAAGGAUGCUGGCGUAAUGGUCAUCAGCGACCCGUCUUGAAACACGGACCAAGGAGUCAAGCAUUAGGGCGAGUGUUUGGGUGUAAAACCCGCACGCGUAAUGAAAGUGAACGUAGAUGAGAGCUUCGGCGCAUCAUCGACCGAUCCUGAUGUAUUCGGAUGGAUUUGAGUAAGAGCCUUACCGCUUGGACCCGAAAGAUGGUGAACUAUGCUUGUAUAGGGUGAAGCCAGAGGAAACUCUGGUGGAGGCUCGCAGCGGUUCUGACGUGCAAAUCGAUCGUCAAAUAUGAGCAUGGGG